This 479-nucleotide long non-coding RNA is filed under the name Bos taurus (domestic cattle). RNAcentral's name for it is "long non-coding RNA NONBTAT016512". The record is from RNAcentral. Lineage: Eukaryota; Metazoa; Chordata; Mammalia; Artiodactyla; Bovidae.
CUCGGUCACCUAGGAAAAUGCUUGCUUGCAGGCAGUGACCUCAUGCUGUUCUUGGGAAGAACUUAUUUACUGCCUUGAAGGGGAAUAAACAAGGGGACAGAAAAUAAAAUCUAAGGGAAAGAGCAAAAUGUUUACUUUUUUUAUGACAACUAUUUUUGCCAGGAUGCACGUGAGGAGAUAAUGUGACAUGUAGCUUUGUUGAAAACUAACGCUGGCUUGUAGGCACACUCAACUUAGACCUAAACAGGUCUUAGAAUGUCAAUACAGCCUCUGAAAAGGAAUGGUCUUCACAUUUGUGAAACCCUCAAAACUCUUCCCAUUCGUGGUAACUCAACUGCACCUCCUUGAUUUUCUUAAAAUUAACUCCCAUUCACUGCUCCGCUCCGACUGUUAGGGAAUGCAGAGAGGAGCCUGCUGGCUACUUGAAACUUUAGGGCACUGGCCAGUGGUUUGCUGACAGGAGGGUCCUGGUGGUUCCA